Molecule: ribosomal RNA, 1370 nt
Filed under: uncultured bacterium
Lineage: Bacteria
Description: bacterial SSU rRNA
Rfam family: Bacterial small subunit ribosomal RNA
Source: RNAcentral
AGAGUUUGAUCCUGGCUCAGGACGAACGCUGGCGGCGCGCCUAACACAUGCAAGUCGAACGAGCGAGAGAGAGCUUGCUUUCUCGAGCGAGUGGCGAACGGGUGAGUAACGCGUGAGGAACCUGCCUCAAAGAGGGGGACAACAGUUGGAAACGACUGCUAAUACCGCAUAAGCCCACGGCUCGGCAUCGAGCAGAGGGAAAAGGAGCAAUCCGCUUUGAGAUGGCCUCGCGUCCGAUUAGCUAGUUGGUGAGGUAAUGGCCCACCAAGGCAACGAUCGGUAGCCGGACUGAGAGGUUGAACGGCCACAUUGGGACUGAGACACGGCCCAGACUCCUACGGGAGGCAGCAGUGGGGAAUAUUGCACAAUGGGGGAAACCCUGAUGCAGCGACGCCGCGUGGAGGAAGAAGGUCUUCGGGUUGUAAACUCCUGUUGUUGAGGAAGAUAAUGACGGUACUCAACAAGGAAGUGACGGCUAACUACGUGCCAGCAGCCGCGGUAAAACGUAGGUCACAAGCGUUGUCCGGAAUUACUGGGUGUAAAGGGAGCGCAGGCGGGAAGACAAGUUGGAAGUGAAAUCUAUGGGCUCAACCCAUAAACUGCUUUCAAAACUGUUUUUCUUGAGUAGUGCAGAGGUAGGCGGAAUUCUCGGUGUAGCGGUGGAAUGCGUAGAUAUCGGGAGGAACACCAGUGGCGAAGGCGGCCUACUGGGCACCAACUGACGCUGAGGCUCGAAAGUGUGGGUAGCAAACAGGAUUAGAUACCCUGGUAGUCCACACCGUAAACGAUGAUUACUAGGUGUUGGAGGAUUGACCCCUUCAGUGCCGCAGUUAACACAAUAAGUAAUCCACCUGGGGAGUACGACCGCAAGGUUGAAACUCAAAGGAAUUGACGGGGGCCCGCACAAGCAGUGGAGUAUGUGGUUUAAUUCGACGCAACGCGAAGAACCUUACCAAGUCUUGACAUCCUGCGACGAUGCUGGAAACAGUAUUUUCCUUCGGGACGCAGAGACAGGUGGUGCAUGGUUGUCGUCAGCUCGUGUCGUGAGAUGUUGGGUUAAGUCCCGCAACGAGCGCAACCCUUACUGUCAGUUACUACGCAAGAGGACUCUGGCAGGACUGCCGUUGACAAAACGGAGGAAGGUGGGGAUGACGUCAAAUCAUCAUGCCCUUUAUGACUUGGGCUACACACGUACUACAAUGGCGUUAAACAAAGAGAAGCAAGACCGCGAGGUGGAGCAAAACUCAGAAACAACGUCCCAGUUCGGACUGCAGGCUGCAACUCGCCUGCACGAAGUCGGAAUUGCUAGUAAUCGUGGAUCAGCAUGCCACGGUGAAUACGUUCCCGGGCCUUGCACAAACCGCCCGUCA